AUGAACGCUGGCGGCGUGCCUCAUACCUGCCAGUCGCGCGAACAGACGAGGAGCUUGCUCCUCUGACGUUAGCGGCGGACGGGUGAGUAACACGUGGAUAACCUACCUAUAAGACUGGGAUAACUUCGGGAAACCGGAGCUAAUACCGGAUAAUAUAUUGAACCGCAUGGUUCAAUAGUGAAAGACGGUUUUGCUGUCACUUAUAGAUGGAUCCGCGCCGCAUUAGCUAGUUGGUAAGGUAACGGCUUACCAAGGCAACGAUGCGUAGCCGACCUGAGAGGGUGAUCGGCCACACUGGAACUGAGACACGGUCCAGACUCCUACGGGAGGCAGCAGUAGGGAAUCUUACGCAAUGGGCGAAAGCUUGACGGAGCAACGCCGCGUGAGUGAUGAAGGUCUUCGGAUCGUAAAACUCUGUUAUUAGGGAAGAACAAAUGUGUAAGUAACUAUGCACGUCUUGACGGUACCUAAUCAGAAAGCCACGGCUAACUACGUG
Molecule: ribosomal RNA, 496 nt
Filed under: uncultured bacterium
Lineage: Bacteria
Description: partial 16S ribosomal RNA
Rfam family: Bacterial small subunit ribosomal RNA
Source: RNAcentral